CCUCUCGGGGGUAAGCGGGCAGAACUUGCAAGUAUUGAUAGAAAGAUUCAGACUUAAAUUAUUUGAUAGCUGAGAGUAUUUGUUGAAGUUGUUCGUUCGCGAACUGACUGAUUUGUAUUCUUUGAUCUAUUAAAUUUGCGUCGCAUUUCUUUUUAUCAUCCGGAUUGUAUGCAACUGAGUUGGUAGUCUUAGGUACUUUGAUACUGCAAAUCCUUGUGGUUUGAGUCUUAGUUUCCGACUAUUUUUGCGGUUGUUGUUGGCGAACUGGCGUUUGACGCGGUCAAGUAUUUACACGAGCAGUGUAUAUUGUAUAUGCGGACGAGUAAUCGUAGUAUGUAUUAUGUACUGGUUGUCGGUGUGAAUAAUUUGGCACGGUUCAGUAUUACAAUCUAAAGCAUGCGUGNUCUGCCUGU
Molecule: ribosomal RNA, 413 nt
Filed under: Superodontella alpina
Lineage: Eukaryota; Metazoa; Arthropoda; Collembola; Poduromorpha; Odontellidae
Description: partial 28S ribosomal RNA
Source: RNAcentral